Molecule: ribosomal RNA, 427 nt
Filed under: uncultured bacterium
Lineage: Bacteria
Description: partial 16S ribosomal RNA
Rfam family: Bacterial small subunit ribosomal RNA
Source: RNAcentral
UGGGGAAUAUUGCACAAUGGGCGCAAGCCUGAUGCAGCCAUGCCGCGUGUAUGAAGAAGGCCUUCGGGUUGUAAAGUACUUUCAGCGAGGAGGAAGGCGUUGUGGUUAAUAACCGCAACGAUUGACGUUACUCGCAGAAGAAGCACCGGCUAACUCCGUGCCAGCAGCCGCGGAAAUACGGAGGGAGCAAGCGUUAAUCGGAAUUACUGGGCGUAAAGCGCACGCAGGCGGUCUGUCAAGUCGGAUGUGAAAUCCCCGGGCUCAACCUGGGAACUGCAUCCGAAACUGGCAGGCUAGAGUCUUGUAGAGGGGGGUAGAAUUCCAGGUGUAGCGGUGAAAUGCGUAGAGAUCUGGAGGAAUACCGGUGGCGAAGGCGGCCCCCUGGACAAAGACUGACGCUCAGGUGCGAAAGCGUGGGGAGCAAACA